Molecule: ribosomal RNA, 214 nt
Filed under: Mantidactylus katae
Lineage: Eukaryota; Metazoa; Chordata; Amphibia; Anura; Mantellidae
Description: partial 16S ribosomal RNA
Source: RNAcentral
ACCCCAUGGAGCUUCAAACCCAAUUACACCCCUAACCCCUAUAACUACUUAACCCUUAGGAUUCUGUAUUAUUGGUUUUAGGUUGGGGCGACCACGGAGUACAACAAAACCUCCACAAUGAACGGAACUACUUCCUCAUCUGAGAGCUACACCUCUAAGAAUUAAAAUAUUAACAUAAAAUGAUCCAUUUUUGAUCAAUGAACCAAGUUACCCU